UAAAGUAAAAACACACAUCUCAGUAGCGUGGUAUUUUUUUAUUAUAUAUGUAUGAAACACUUAAAUCACAAUAGAAACAAUACAAGUCAUAUGGUGUAUGCAGUGCAUACAAUUUACAUGCAUAUAAUGUGAAAUCACAUAACAGUCAUCGAAUAUCAGCCUACAUAUUAUACAAGGGAUCACAUAUAUAUCUGUUCUGUCUGAUCAGGCUACCCAGAAUCCUUUUUCCCUGAGGUCACAUGACAAUCUCAGAACCCCCUACCCCACCAUAGGACAUUCAUAAUUUGCCAGCCUGAACAAACUACAUAAUGUAUACAUAAGGUUUAUGUACAUUGCUAGACAUGUUCGUGGUGACCUAAUGUAUGUACUGUAACUCUGUUAUCGGCCAUUCUGAGAAUCCAUACAAUAGUGCUGUGUGAAAUUGACCUGGGAAAGGGAAUAAUGUGGCAUUAAUGGAUGACUUGUUUACAUUCUCUGUUUUCAAUUUGAUAACCGAAGAAAAAAAAAUACCCAAUCACUGACCCCGUAUAAAAUUUAGAAUUCCAGUUUAAGGUAUUUACAUUGAAAUUAAUGGAGGACUGGACCAGAACUAACAAAAUAAUAAACUGAAAGGGUGCUAAGGCACGGCAAAGUACCUAGUC
Long non-coding RNA from Nanorana parkeri, 641 nucleotides. RefSeq lists it as uncharacterized. NCBI's taxonomy places the organism in Eukaryota, Metazoa, Chordata, Amphibia, Anura, Dicroglossidae. The transcript has 3 exons. The record is from RefSeq and is a predicted model, not a curated record.